This 30-nucleotide non-coding RNA is filed under the name Mus musculus (house mouse). Lineage: Eukaryota; Metazoa; Chordata; Mammalia; Rodentia; Muridae. The record is from RNAcentral.
UGGAGAUGUUUCGUCAGGUUUUUCUGACAA